GAGACAUUUAUGAAUAAAAAUAAAAAUACUUGUAAACAGUUAGGUUUCACUGCAGCAACAUUCCAAAUAUCAAAUGGGACCUUCAAACACAAAAUUAUAAAAACCCAAGACCGCCUCUUUUCUCGAGAAGCAUGAAGCAUUGAAACCAAACUCAAAAGGUUUCUUUCACGUCACUUAUCAAAAAAAUUGUGGAAUUCCUUUGCUGACUGACAUUUUCAAGCUCUUCAACUUCCUUUCACCCCUUCUUGUGUUUCGCUUCC
Molecule: non-coding RNA, 260 nt
Organism: Schizosaccharomyces pombe (fission yeast)
Lineage: Eukaryota; Fungi; Ascomycota; Schizosaccharomycetes; Schizosaccharomycetales; Schizosaccharomycetaceae
Source: the annotation of a GenBank genome assembly